CGGCCUCAGAUUGGUAGGACUACCCGCUGAACUUAAGCAUAUCAAUAAGCGGAGGAAAAGAAACUAACAAGGAUUCCCCUAGUAACGGCGAGUGAAGAGGGAAGAGCCCAAGAUUGAAAGCUGGCGUCUUCGGCGUCCGCAUUGUAAUCUCAAGAAGUGUUUUCCGCUUCGGACCAAGCCUAAGUCCCCUGGAAAGGGGCAUCAUAGAGGGUGAUAAUCCCGUACAUGGCUUGGAGCGCCCGAGGCUUUGUGAUACGCUUUCUAAGAGUCGAGUUGUUUGGGAAUGCAGCUCAAAAUGGGUGGUAAAUGCCAUCUAAGGCUAAAUAUUGGGGAGAGACCGAUAGCGAACAAGUACAGUGAUGGAAAGAUGAAAAGAACUUUGAAAAGAGAGUUAAACAGUACGUGAAAUUGCCAAAAGGGAAGGGUAGGAGGUCAGAGAUGCGGCCUGGGAUUCAGCCUUGCUUUUGCUUGGUGUUUUUCCCAGAUUGCAGGCCAACGUCGGUUUUGGGCACUGGAGAAGGGUAGGAGGAACGUGGCACCCCUCGGGGUGUGUUAUAGCCUCCUACUGGAUACAGCGACCGAGACCGAGGACAGCAGCGUACUCGCAAGAGCGGGCCUUCGGGCACCUUUACGCUUAGGGCGUUGGCAUAAUGGCCCUCUACCA
Molecule: ribosomal RNA, 664 nt
Filed under: Ustilago esculenta
Lineage: Eukaryota; Fungi; Basidiomycota; Ustilaginomycetes; Ustilaginales; Ustilaginaceae
Description: eukaryotic LSU rRNA
Rfam family: Eukaryotic large subunit ribosomal RNA
Source: RNAcentral